GGAAGUAAAAGUCGUAACAAGGUUUCCGUAGGUGAACCUGCGGAAGGAUCAUUAUUGAAUUUUAAUGAAGAGUUCGGUUGUAGCUGGCCCAUUCAUUUGGGCAUGUGCACACCUUUCUCUUUCAUCCCACACACACCUGUGAACCUGUGAGAUAGAUGGGGAAUUUACUUGUUGCUUUUUGGAAUACAAAGGCAAUAGGUUAUUGGGACCUCUGUCUACUCAAUUAAUAUAAACUCAAUUUAUUUUAAAACGAAUGUAAUGGAUGUAACACAUCUCAUACUAAGUUUCAACAACGGAUCUCUUGGCUCUCGCAUCGAUGAAGAACGCAGCGAAAUGCGAUAAGUAAUGUGAAUUGCAGAAUUCAGUGAAUCAUCGAAUCUUUGAACGCACCUUGCGCUCCUUGGUAUUCCUUGGAGCAUGCCUGUUUGAGUAUCAUGAAUUCUUCAAAGUAAAUCUUUUGUUAACUCAAUUGGCUUCACUUUGGUAUUGGAGGUCUUUUGCAGCUUCACACCUGCUCCUCUUUGUUCAUUAGCUGGAUCUCAGUGUUAUGCUUGGUUCCACUCGGCGUGAUAAAUUAUCUAUCGCUGAGGACACUGUAAAAGGUGGCCAAGGUAAAUGCAGAUGAACCGCUUCUAAUAGUCCAUUGACUUGGACAAUACCUUUAUGAUCUGAUCUCAAAUCAGGUAGGACUACCCGCUGAACUUAAGCAUAUCAAUAAGCGGAGGA
This 726-nucleotide ribosomal RNA is filed under the name Rhizoctonia solani. RNAcentral describes it as "eukaryotic LSU rRNA". The stretch from base 282 to 435 matches the Rfam family "5.8S ribosomal RNA". The record is from RNAcentral. Lineage: Eukaryota; Fungi; Basidiomycota; Agaricomycetes; Cantharellales; Ceratobasidiaceae.